CCUACGGGAGGCAGCAGUGGGGAAUUUUCCGCAAUGGGCGAAAGCCUGACGGAGCAACGCCGCGUGGGUGAUGAAGUCUUUCGGGACGUAAAACCCUUUCAGCAGGGACGAACACAAUGACGGUACCUGCAGAAGAAGCAUCGGCUAACUACGUGCCAGCAGCCGCGGUAAUACGUAGGAUGCGAGCGUUGUCCGGAUUUAUUGGGCGUAAAGCGAACGUAGGCGGUUUCUUAAGUUUGGUCUUAAAGACCGGGGCUCAACCCCGGGAAUGGACUGAAUACUGGGAGACUAGAGGAUGUUAGAGGAAAGUGGAAUUCCAAGUGUAGCGGUGAAAUGCGUAGAUAUUUGGAGGAACACCAGUGGCGAAAGCGGCUUUCUGGGACAUUUCUGACGCUGAGGUUCGAAAGCUCGGGGAGCAAACAGGAUUAGAUACCCUGGUAGUCCGAGCCGUAAACGAUGGACACUAGGUGUCGGGGGUAUCGACCCCCCGGUGCCGUAGCUAACGCGUUAAGUGUCCCGCCUGGGAGUACGGUCGCAAGACUGAACUUAAAUGAAUUGACGGNUG
RNAcentral lists this ribosomal RNA (565 nucleotides) under uncultured bacterium. RNAcentral's name for it is "bacterial SSU rRNA". It matches the Rfam family "Bacterial small subunit ribosomal RNA", at positions 338 to 919 of the family's 1533-position model. The record is from RNAcentral.